Molecule: long non-coding RNA, 4517 nt
Organism: Podarcis raffonei (Aeolian wall lizard)
Lineage: Eukaryota; Metazoa; Chordata; Lepidosauria; Squamata; Lacertidae
Exons: 2
Source: RefSeq, a predicted model, not a curated record
UAACUUUGCAUAGGAGUGAACUGUUUCAUAUGAAGCUGCCAUAUACCAAGUUCAGACCAUUGGUCCAUCUAGUUCAGUACUGUCUACACUGGCUGGCAGCAGCUCUGCAGGGUUUCAGGCAGGGGUCUCCCCCAGACCUAUGUAAAGAUGCUGGAGAUUGAACCUGAGAUCUUCUGCAUGCAAAGCAGAUGCUUUAUUGCUGGAUGUUGUACUGACAUGUGCUCACUGGACAGACCAACUACAGGUAAUUCAUCAGAAAUUAGAAGGAAUCUGGAGGAUAAUUGCAACCUACCUCUAAUAUUAUAUGGAGGAUGAAAAUGGCUGGUCUAUAGUAAUGCUUAUAUGCAAAAGGAAAUGCCAAUAUAGCAUUAUAGGUGAGGUUGUGGAAGCUGUCAAGAUACUUAUAGAGCUAUAAAAUAUUGUUGCAUAUACAUUUCAUGGAACUUCAUUUUUAAUAAUAAAGUAAAGGGAAAUAAGUGACUUUUAAAAUGUUGGCAUGGAGGACCACAAUAGAAUAUCUCUCCUUUCUUCUUAAUCCUAAAUAAAAGCAUAACCCAAGCAGACAUAGUAUGAACAGGCUGCAUCUUCCAUGUCAAGAGAUUUGAUAGAGGUGGCAGAAAGUGUCGUAUUUCUUUCCUCACCCUAAAGGACAGUUCAAGAACCAGGAUUUUGGGGUUCCUCAGAUAGGUUAGCCUAAUAGACCCCCUGUGGAAAAGGUGGGGUGUGAAAACUGAGAGGUCUCCUGAUAUCCUUCUGACUUGCUUAGAGAAUCUGUGGAAAGUAAGACUUGAAGGACUAUCAGAGGGGUGAGUCCUUUUUCAGUAUUAAAACCCUGGCAAAUUCCCGGUUAUUCCACCCUUAGGACCUACUAAAAGAAUCAGUAAAAACAUCGGAGAGCAGGAGAUACUUCAUAAAGUACGCAAGUGGUAAACCGAGACUGUAAAGAAGGUUCCGCUUGAUAACAAUUCCAUUCUAAAGCUAUAAGAGCAAGAAAGACAACUCAGAAGUUAUAAAUUUGAGUUAUAUGAGCUGAAAUCUGCCUACCAGCCAUGUGGCUUGUGCUGGAUAAACCCCUGGUUUUGCAGUUCCAGCCAGGUAGCAAAAAUGGGCGGUUUAUCAGUCCCACUGACAAGACAACAUACAUGGCUGGUAUAUGGCUAUGAGAGCCAGUAGGGCUGUUGAGAACUUUCUGCUAAGCACAUAAAGAAACAUGUGUAACAGUCAUCCACCCACCCACCCACACAAAUUUGUGUGUUUUACUGUGUACAUGUGUGCUCAGAAGAUGGCACUUCCCAGUGAACAGAGACCAUAUUUACAGGCAGAAAAGCCAUACAUUUUUGCAAUGUGUAUGUUUUUGCAAUUGCCACUCUGGACCCCUUAUAUAUAGUAGUCAUUGCUGUACCUACUUUUCAUUUAGCAAAUGUGUGACUUUGAAGCUUUCCUAAGUUGCCACAGCAUUUGAAGGGCUCUUAUACUUCAGAAAAGGUCUAAUCCUCUAGAAUUGAAGAUUACCUAUAUCCAUGCAGUCACAUUUGUGUUAAUAUUUCUGAAGUUACGCAGUUGAGAGCCACACAAAAGGUGAUGAACAAAAUAUCAACUGGGUUUUGGCCUUAAUUGGAUUUUAGAAACCCAGUGAAUAAAAUUGAUAAAUAUUUCUCACUGCUGAUGUUCUAGUUAAUCACCAUCCUAGGUAAUUCCCUUUUCUUUCCUCAAAUUGUAUUGCGGACAAUUUCAUUAUGCUACAAUACAGUUCAUAUGUUGCAGAAUCUGGCACAUCUCGUGACAUACCUUUAUAAAAGCUCAAUCACUCUCCAUGUGAUAGAACUGUUAGUAUAUCAGUCCUCCGUUGCUGGGUGUGUGAUUGUUACAUCACUUGCCUGUGUUUGUUUUCUAGGCUUGGAAAAGCCUGAGAACGGAAGUUAGCCUUGUCUCUUCUGCUUUCUGUGUUUGUGUACUUUUUACUUUCUGUUCUCUCUCAGAGCUGAAGUGAGAGAACACCCUGACUGUUUGUCCUGUAAAUAUUGCUAAAUAAAAGCUUACAAUGAGGACACAAUUCUCCACUUCGUUUCUGCUGAUCUCCACUGAGUGAGUGUGCAUGUAGACAUUUGCUGCGUGUCACUGGAGCAUGCCAGGACUGAUGAUUUAUGGACAUCCCGGAACUGUGCAACACCAGGAGGACACCCAGAGAGGUUCGUCUCAUCCCGGGGGCUGCCUGGGCCCCAGGGUGUAUCCUGACAUUAACUACAAUUGUGUAACCUAAACCUGGCCUGCCUCUUUGUGUUAUUUCAACGCUUCUACUUGACAGGCUGGUAUAUAACUUCUUUCUUCCUCACAAUAAUCCUGAUAUAGGUGUCUUUAUUCUCAUUUUAUGGAUGAAGAACUGGAACCUCAAGGAUCACCUCUCCACAUAUGAACCAACACAGACCCUGAAAUCAUCAUCUGAGACCCUUCAUCAGGUGCCUCCUCCUUGAGAGGUCCAGAGGGUGGCAACAUGAGAACUUGCCUUUUCUGUGGUGGCUCCCAAUUUGAGGAAUGCAUUCCCCAUGGAGGCUUGCCUGGCACCUUCAUUACAUCUAUUUAGGCACCAAGUGAAAACAUUCCUCUCCUCCCAGGCAUUCAUCUAAUCACCAUGAAGUGAACCUCUGCAGCAUAGCAGCACAAUUUGGAGAGCCUCAUCCAGCCAGGCUGGUCAUUAAGGAAGGUAACAUUUAGCAUCUAAGCUCUUCCGGGCAUGAUUUUUGAAGGUGAGAUUUAGCAUCAGAAUGACUAUAUAAACAUGAAGAAAAGAUUUGAAACUAAAAUCCCCAUGUGCUAGUAACAUGCCAAUUAAUUGUUUCUCACAGACACCUUUUAUUUGUCCCUGUAUAGUAUAUUUACUUUGGCUUUCUACUUUACAACUCUUUUUCUCCAAGUGGGGAAACAUAUUUUAUUUACUCCAUUAUUGCUCCACAGAGAUCAGGAUGAAAAUGGAAGCAACUGCUCUUUCUCAUUGGCGCCUUUCCUUUCAGGGAACACAUUUGAUUGGUGGUGCAAAUUGGUGCUUUUGCUCUAGAAGCAUAGUUGAGAGACAAUGAACAAAGCAGCAGAGUUGCAGAGGGAGAAUGCAUAAUCCGCUUUCAUCAUAGGCCAGAAGCACCAGUAAAAUGAUGUGAGAACAGUGGAGACUUUUUACAGUUAGAUUGUUGCAAAGCAUUGUAGGUGGGGUCUAUCUUUAAAAAUGGUUCAGAAAAUUCAUUUGGCAUAGAAUGUGGCUUCAAGAGUACUAACUGGAACUAGACACUCCAGUAAUAUUAUGCCAGCAUUUUUUUCAUCUUCAUUGGCUCCUGCAAUGUUUCUAGUCCUAUUCAAGGUGCUGAUUCUGACCUUUAAAGAUUUUUUUACAACUUGGGAACAUGGCGAAUCUACUUGAACCCUGAGAUCACCAACAGAAGAUUCUCACAAGCUGAGAUAAAAUGGGUGGCCACAAGACAAAAGGCUUUUUUUAGAAGUGACCCCCAUUUAUGGAAUGCUUCCUCCAGACUGCUUUGCCUGGCACCCCCUUUUAAUGUCUUUUCAGUACCUGAGAAGAGUUUCUUCAGUUUCACUGAUCUUUUAAGCCCCACUUUUAAAAUCUCUGGCAUUAUAGGGGGGAGAGACAAGUCCCACGAUGUACAGGAAAACUAUCUUACUUUUUAUAAAGUUUGGGUAUUCGUGCUUUCUAAUUUUUAUAUUUUGGGUUCCAUGGAACUCCCUGCCACAAUAAUUCAGUUCCUCAAGGUGACCCUUUUCCACAGUUGCUCGUUCCUUUUAAAAUCCUCCUCAUAGCUUGGUGCAAUAGGCUUAAGCAUGAGAUGGACACAAGCACUGGAUAUAGUAUGACCUGUUGAGAAUAUUGUUUAUUAAACGGUUUUGUGUAUUUAAGGCAAUACUGAUAUUUAAACUGGUGUCUUGCAUGCACUUUGUGGCAGUUUCUACAGACUGAGAGACAACGUUGCUGACACCAGCCUCUAAACAGCUUUUUGUUGUUGUUUAGCUGUUUAGUCGUGUCCGACUCUUCGUGACCCUGUGGACCAGAGCACGCCAGGCACUCCUGUCUUCCACUGCCUCCCACAGUUAAACAGCUUUUACCUCAAGCCAAAUUCUCUAAACCACAGCUGAAUUAACUCACAACCCAUUGCAACUACUAAGGACAGUCUGCAUAUGAUCCCAUAGCUUCGUCACCUGGACUUCUGGCUGCUUGUACAGUUUGGCUGAUUUAAAAAAUCUGGUUGUGAACCUGUCACCAAGAAGCCACCACUAAGCAGUCUUGCAACAUAUGAACAGCACAAGGCCUUGGACUUUGACAGUUGUGCUCUGACAUUGCCAUAGAAAUCUGCUUCAAAGCACAAAACAUCAACAGACAGCCAUAUAUACAGCAAUUCUCCACACUGUGUUUUCACAUGGUUAUUUAGUUCUGUGGAACUUCCUACGCCUUAGGUUAAUUGCUGUUUGCCAUGAUUUUUAGAUUUCUUCUCUGAUUAAAAUGAUUGUUUUUAGCA